This 953-nucleotide non-coding RNA is filed under the name Phoenicolacerta kulzeri (common Eurasian lizard). RNAcentral describes it as "12S ribosomal RNA". It matches the Rfam family "Bacterial small subunit ribosomal RNA". Lineage: Eukaryota; Metazoa; Chordata; Lepidosauria; Squamata; Lacertidae. The record is from RNAcentral.
AAAGUUUUGGUCCUGGGCUUGCCGUUGUUUUUUUUCAAGAUUAUACAUGCAAGUCUCAGCACACCAGUGAAAAUGCCCACAACCCCUAAAAAGAAAUACUGGAGCAGACAUCAGGCACUACCUUUCAAGCCCAUGACGUCUUGCCAUGCCACACCCCCACGGGCUAACCAGCAGUAAUAAACAUUGGGCUAUGAGUGUAAACUUGACCCAACUAUGAUCAACAGGGCUGGUUAAUUUCGUGCCAGCCACCGCGGUUAUACGAAAAGCCCAAAACAACAGCAAACGGCGUAAAAUGUGACUAGAGACUUUUAAUAUUAUAAAUAUUAUAAACCUACUAACUAGUUGUAGAACACUUAAAUAAUAGAGGAAAACCAACAAAAUAUUUUAAUAUUAUUACCUUGACCACACGAAAGCUUAGAUACAAACUAGGAUUAGAUACCCUACUAUGCUAAGCCCUAAACAUUGAUAGCUACCAUACAAAGCUAUCCGCCAGAGAACUACAAGUGAAAAACUUGAAACUCAAAGGACUUGACGGUGUCCCAUAUCAACCUAGAGGAGCCUGUCCUAUAAUCGAUACCCCUCGCUCUACCUUACCUUGACUAGCAAAACUCAGCCUAUAUACCGCCGUCGACAGCCUACCCUAUGAAGGUCUAACAGUAGACACAAUAGCCACACCGCUAGUACGUCAGGUCAAGGUGUAGCAAAUGUUAAGGAAGUGAUUGGCUACAUUUUUUAAUUUUUAAAAAACACGGAAUGCACCAUGAAACCGCUCAUGAAGGUGAAUUUAGUAGUAAAGCAGAUAAGAGUAUCUACUUUAACAAUGCUCUGGGACGCGUACACACCGCCCGUCACCCUCCUUGAUUAAUCACUUUAACUCUUUAUAAACCCUAAAAUAAAUUUAAAGGAGGUAAGUCGUAACAUGGUAAGCGUACCGGAAGGUGUGCUUGGAACUU